CAGCGGCCCUAGUGGUGAUCGUUAUUAUUGGGCCUAAAGCGUCCGUAGCCGGUUCGGUAAAUCUCUGGGUAAAUCGUUGGGCUUAACUCAACGAAUUCUGGGGAGACUGCCGAACUUGGGACCGGGAGAGGUCGGAGGUACUCCAGGGGUAGGGGUGAAAUCCUGUAAUCCUUGGGGGACCACCGGUGGCGAAGGCGUCCGACCAGAACGGGUCCGACGGUAAGGGACGAAGCCCUGGGGCGCGAACCGGAUUAGAUACCCGCGUAGUCC
Molecule: ribosomal RNA, 270 nt
Filed under: uncultured archaeon
Lineage: Archaea
Description: partial 16S ribosomal RNA
Rfam family: Archaeal small subunit ribosomal RNA
Source: RNAcentral